Molecule: ribosomal RNA, 510 nt
Filed under: uncultured bacterium
Lineage: Bacteria
Description: partial 16S ribosomal RNA
Rfam family: Bacterial small subunit ribosomal RNA
Source: RNAcentral
GACGAACGCUGGCGGCGUGCUUAACACAUGCAAGUCGAACGAAGAGCGAUGGAAGCUUGCUUCUAUCAAUCUUAGUGGCGAACGGGUGAGUAACGCGUAAUCAACCUGCCCUUCAGAGGGGGACAACAGUUGGAAACGACUGCUAAUACCGCAUACGAUCUAAUCUCGGCAUCGAGGAUAGAUGAAAGGUGGCCUCUACAUGUAAGCUAUCACUGAAGGAGGGGAUUGCGUCUGAUUAGCUAGUUGGAGGGGUAACGGCCCACCAAGGCGAUGAUCAGUAGCCGGUCUGGGAGGAUGAACGGCCACAUUGGGACUGAGACACGGCCCAGACUCCUACGGGAGGCAGCAGUGGGGAAUCUUCCGCAAUAGACGAAAGUCUGACGGAGCAACGCCGCGUGAGUGAUGACGGCCUUCGGGUUGUAAAGCUCUGUUAAUCGGGACGAAAGGCCUUCUUGCGAAUAGUGAGAAGGAUUGACGGUACCGGAAUAGAAAGCCACGGCUAACUACGUG